UAUGGCCAUAUCACGUUGAAACACUAGUUCCCGUCCGAUCACCGAAGUUAAGCAAUGUUAUGGCUGGCCAGAACAUAGAUUGGUGACCGCUUAGAAAUAUCAGGUGCUGUAAG
Acanthosepion pharaonis is the source of this 113-nucleotide non-coding RNA. NCBI's taxonomy places the organism in Eukaryota, Metazoa, Mollusca, Cephalopoda, Sepiida, Sepiidae. The record is from the annotation of a GenBank genome assembly.